UUUAUUUUUUUGCUGUCAGGUACUCCUUCGUGUUCAGUUCGGGCUUCAGUAUAAUAAUGUAGCACUUGGGCAUGAAGAUGCAGCCCAGAAGCCCAGCACUGGAGACCAAGAUGGAGAAGACCUGCACGGCUACCAUGUAUUUCCCCUUGGUGCUCAGGUAGGUGGGCACAAAGGACACCCAAACACUGCAGAAGACCAGCAUGCUGAAGGUGAUCAGCUUGGCUUCAUUGAAGGCCCCAGGCAGUUUCCUGGCUAGGAAAGCCACCAUGAAGCAGAUGGCAGCCAGGAAGCCCGUGUAGCCGAGGGCAGCAUAAAACAUAGCAUCAGACCCUUCAUUGCACUGCAAGAUGAUCUCUCCAGGGAGGGAGCUCAUGUCAGAGUUUGGGAAUGGAGGAGAAAGUCGCAGCCAGGUGAUGCAGAUGACAACUUGGACAGUGGAACAGGAAAUGACAAUGGAGUUGGCCAGACUUUUCCCCAGCCAUUUCCUCAGCCUGUUCCCUGGCUUGGUGGCCAAGAAGGCCAACACCACAGUGAUGGUUUUUGCCAACACAGAAGAGAUGGCAGAUGAGAAGACAAUGCUGAAGACCAUUUGUCGGAGAAGACAGGUGACUUUCCUUGGCCGGCCGAUGAAGAGGAAAGAGGACAAAAAGCAGAGCAGGAGGGAGAAGAGGAGGAUGUAGGAGAGGUCCCUGUUGUUGGCUUUGACUAGGGGAGUUUCAUUGUAUUUCAUGAAUAUUCCCAAAAUGCAGCCUGUGGUUGAGGAUAAGAGAAGGGCAAAGGAAGCCAGGAGGAUCCCCAAGUAAUCUUCAUAGGACAAGAAGGUGAUUGCUUUGGGGACACAUUGAUCGCGGUCCUUGUUUGGAUGCUGAUCUUCUGGACAUUUGGUGCAUUCAUUGGCAUCUGCACAGAGAAAGAGAGACAUCAUUAUCCUAACAUUAGUCAUACACCUAGAGCAGUCUUAUAAUUGUGGGGAAUGGUUGGCAUAUGGGAGAGAUCAAGAAAUUGUUGUUAAUAAUAAUAAUAAUAAUAAUAAUAAUAAUAAUAAUUUAUUAUUAUUUAUACCCCGCCCAUCUGGCUGGGUUUCCCCAGCCACUCUGGGCGGCUUCCAACAAAACACUAAAAUACAAUAACCUAUUAAACAUUAAAAGCUUCCCUAAACAGGGCUGCCUUCAGAUGUCUUCUAAAAGUUUGGUAGUUAUUUUUCUCUUUGACAUCUGGUGGGAGGGCGUUCCACAGGGCGGGUGCCACUACCGAGAAGGCCCUCUGCCUGCUUCCCUGUAACUUGGCUUCUUGCAGUGAGGGAACCGCCAGAAGGUCCUCAGCGCUGGACCUCAGUGUCCGGGCAGAACGAUGGAGUUGGAGACGCUCCUUCAGGUAUACUGUGUUCUCUAGUAGAGAACCUUCGAUCCAUGGCUUCUUUCCACUGGCGUUGUGUCCUACCUUCCUGAGUGGAGACUGUCCCUUCUGAGCAGGGAGCACAGUCAUAGCAGCACGGAGGCUUCCCUUCCUGAAUCUUCUUGGCAAAUCCAGGGCAACAGCUCUUUGUGCAUCUUGCAUGAGGCAUGGUCUGGAAAUAAAUAGAAGAAAAAGCAUUGAGGAAAUGGAUUGUUCAGUAUUGGAAGGAUCCCUGGAAUAACACUAAUACUAACAAUAAAAUAAUAUCUAUACCCUAACCAUCUGGCUGGGUUACCCCAGCCACACUGAGCAACUUCCACACAGAUAAAAAUAUAAUAAAACGUGAAACAUUAAAAGCACCUUUACUUCCAAUUGCCCAAAGUGAGCCCAGGCCCAAUUAGGAGUGAUUUCUUUUUUGCUUUCUGUAGAGCAGAAUGGCUGUGAAAUCUCUUUAGUGUUUCUGCUUAUUCCCUUUAACAUUGAUAUACUGCACUUUUCUACACAUACAAUCCAGGCAACAUGUGAAUUGAACCAGCCAUUCCUACAAAAUGGGGCACUAAAAAAACUCCUGACACUGUUGCCAUCACACCUGCUAUGUGUUGAUGCAGUUGUGAAAUAAGGGUGGACUGACUGAUUUCUGCUUUGCUUCCAAGGCAAAUGGCAUUGUUGAGGUUGGCAUGAAGACUGCAGAACGUGGCACCUAGUUUGCUCGUGAGGCAUAUCUGCACUUCCCAUUUUCAUUUUAGGAGGCUUUCCAGGCUCGAUAAAAUAUAUAUAUAUUACAGCUGUUCAUUUUGUAAUUCAUUUUGUAAGCCUCUUAUUCAUUGUCAGAUUUUAUACAUGCUUAUUCAACAGUGAGAUCCAUUAAGCUCAUUGCUAUUUAUCUCCAAGGAAGUGUCCAUGACUGCAAUAAAAGCCUCAUAUGUAAUGUUCAACAUGCUGUUAGAAUGUAGAAUAUACCAUAGAUAUUAAAAAGGCAUCUAACAUUUCUCCUACCUUCUUCCACAGUGUGGGCCAUACUAUUGUUUCUGGGCUAAUGGUGAACUUUAGAUUUGAGGACUCCUGUCUCUCUAUGCUCCCAAUCUUCACACUAGCAUGAGAUUUAUUAGGGAACAACACCCAAUUGACAAUAUCAAAGUCAAUGGCCAGUGCCCCAUUCUUAUCCAAGUACUGUCCAUCAGCUGAAGUAUUGGAAGAGAGAUGGACUUCUUUCAAGAAUGAAUGAAACUAGAACAACAGAGAAAACCACGUUGGACGGCAUAUAUUGAUCAUAAAGACAUUUGGAGGUGGAAAUCAUUGGUUGGAUAUUCAUUCACUUGUCAUAUGGGGACAUGGCUGCUGUGCACACAUGAGAAGAAAAUGAGCUGUCCCAGUUUUUCCAAGACACAUGUAGGGCAUGCUGUGUUCCUAUUAUGAUGAUUCCAGAGUUGGAAAAGAAAUCACAACCUUCAAAAGCGAGAGGCCAUUUCUGUAAUCUACCCCCCACUCUUUAAUCCAUAUCUAAUUCUACCCUUCCUUCCCCACCCAUCACACUUUAUGUCAGCGCAACUUAAUAGGUUUGAUAGAAAACACAAGGUGAGAGACACAGGCCAACCCAGAUGGGUUGGCAUGGAAUCAUCCUAUAAAUUAGAUAAGCAAGAUGACUAGCUUAGAAGCAAUUACAUUAAAUGUGAGGGGGUUGGGAAACCUUAUCAAAAGAAAACGCAUCACCUCGUAUGUGAACACCAUGAAACCACACAUUCCUUUCCUACAUGAAAUACACAAUCCACCGAAAGGAAGCAAACUCCUGAGUGAUCCCUGCUUCAAGUCAACAAUGGAUUGCACCUGGUUCAGGAAAGGCCCACAGAGUAGCCAUAAUACUCAGUAGAGACCUGAGCUUCAAAGCCACGACAGUGCUAAAAGACAAAAAGACAAUUGGCUCCUUAUAUGCCCCAAACUAAAAACAAUUCGAGUUCAUCCAGAAAACUCUAAACAAGUUCCUCUCCUUCUCAAAGGGGAAGCAAUCCUGGGAGUGUGACCUCAACCUAAAUAUGAGAGGCAUCUUCCUGAAAGACACCCACCCUACAACACCAUGGACAACCUUCCUCUGAAGGCAGCCCCUUCAGGGACUCUUACAAAUUAGGGACUCUUACAAAUUGCUAAAAAACACAGGGGUCUCUAUGACAUAUGGGGCGAAGAAAACCUGGGAUACCCCAGCUACACAUUCCAUUCCAGACACCACAGCACAGUCCAGACUAGAUAAGAAAAGAACAACAAGUAUCACACACCCCACUCACGCACAAAACCAAACCUCACUAGAGCCAACCAAACACAACCAACUACACCCUAAGCCAUGCCCGACCUCUCUCACCACCAAGGAAAUACAACAAGCAAAUAGUAAGAGAACCUACACAGGUGACACUGACACAAAACCCCACGCAUACACUAAGCAGAAGAAUAGAAGCAAAACCACCUGACUUCACCCCAAUCACCAUUCCUCCUCCCCCUCUUUCGCCCGCUUUUCUUCCUAACCUAACCCUGUAUGUAGCACUAAUGUCUCACACCAAAUGAAACUGAUCUGUACAAGCACAACUUGAAAAAAAGACAAUGCAUGUAUUUUUGUAAACUAAAAUAUAUUACAUAUAUAGAUAUAGAUAUCAAGAGGCCAUACCUGCCAUGGCUGUAGACUUUGAAGCUCCAUCUCGUCUCCUCCACCCACCAUCAACCUCUGCUUUGAUCUGGAUGAAUAGGCUGCAUUCAAAGCCUGAGCCACAACUUGGACACUGUAGUAAGUGAUAUAACUGUCUUGGGAGUGGAUUCCUUCAAUCUCCUCCUGGGGCAGCAGCAUCUGAUUCUUCUUCUCCCUGCAUCUUUCCCAACUCCUCACAGACAAGGCAUGCUUUGAAUAUGAACAUACAAAUGUUUUCCGCCAAGAAGCAGAAGCUCUUGGCUCAUAGUAGUCCUUUUUUGCUUCCUUUUUGGUCUUCAUUACAAAGGACAAUGAACCAUGGGCAUAUCGGAAGGCUUCCGUCUCAUAAAACAAGAUGUUGUCCUGAAGACCGGUGGUGAUCCAGACUUUCCCCCCAGUUUGUGUCCUUUCAAAGAAAGAUUGUACCUCUAUGAUAACAUAAAAUCCAUACUGAGAAUCUGUAUAGUAAACAAAUACAUUGACUUGUCUCCACAAGGGAGAUGGCUCGUGAGAGAACCACAGGGAGGUUUUCCAUUGCACUCUUUCGGUGAAGGCAGCACAAAUUUCCCAUUUGCUCAUCAGAGGUGUCAAGGUGCUCAGGAACUUUUCUCCAUUGCCAUUGUCUGAAGCAAAGAGGCCGACCCAUGUCCAUCUGAAGUGCAGGAGGAGUUCCACCACCCCCUGGCACUGAGCUUCUUCAUUUGGGACCAUCGAGUUGACAAAAGGAGACUGUUUUUUAUCAUGAAGAACAAAGCCAGAACUGAGCUGUUGAGAGAAGGGAAAGAGACUGAUGCUUUGCUUUUCAGGACAAAUAUUGGAUGACAAAUUUAAUUAUCAACCUCAACCUUAUUUGAAAUAAAUUUUUAUUAUUAUUUUAGCAAUGUAUAAACCACUUAACUGCUUAGCAAUGUAUAAACCGCUUAGCAAUUACAGAGGAAAUAAUAAUAAUAAUAAUAAUAAUAAUAAUAAUAUAAUAAUAAUAAUACCCCACCAUCCCCGGCUAGAGCCGGGCUCAGGGUGGCUAACACCAGUAAAAUUACAGUAAAAACAUAAUGGGGGUGUGUGAACCAAUUUAAAAUACAGGUUAAAAUGCAAUUUAAAAUGCAGCCUCAUUUUAAAAGUGGCCCAUAGAUCAAAACCAUAAGGGCUGGGAAACGUAAGGGUCAGACUGAGUCCAGACCAAUGGCCAGGCGGAACAGCUCUAUCUCAGCAUCUUCAUUUAGCAAAGGAGUUGUUCUAUAUGAUUCAGCUGGUUUAGGUCCAUAUGUUAGGAAUAGAUAUAAUUAUAGCUUCUGAACUAUAGGUGGUUUUGGGUGUGUGUGGAAGAUUUGUAGAUUGUUGUAUUAACUUGUUAUUUUAUCAGUGGGGAGUUUAUAAAGGGGCAUAAUCAGCAUAAGUCAUUGGGUGGAUUUCAGUUUUAGUGAUCUUUGCUACUGGGCAUGAAGCAAUGAGAGAAAAUCUCUAUAGAAAUAUGAAUUGUGGACAUGAAAAUAGAAAGUGAGGUCUUUAUCAGUAGGAUGUUAGAAUCUCCAAAUAUCUAUUAAGCUAUUUACUUCCAUUAUGUUUUAAAGGUCUUGGUUUGUUGUUUAGUCGUUUAGUCGUGUCUGACUCUUUGUGACCCCAUGGACCAGGGCAAGCCAGGCACUCCUGUCUUCCACUGCCUCCCGCAGUUUGGUCAAACUCAUGUUGGUAGCUUCGAGAACACUGUCCAACCAUUUCGUCCUCUGUCAUCCCCUUCUCCUUCUGCCCUCAAUCUUUCCCAACAUCAGGGUCUGUCCUUCAGGAUCUGUCCUUCCAGGGAGCACUCAGGGCUGAUUUCCUUAAGAAUGGAGAGUUUUGAUCUUCUUGCAGUCCAUGGGACUCUCAAGAGUCUCCUCCAGCACCAUAAUUCAAAAGCAUCAAUUCUUCGGCCAUCAGCCUUCUUUAUGGUCCAGCUCUCACUUGCAUACAUCACUACUGGGAAAACCAUAGCUUUAACUAUCUUGUCAGCAAGGUGAUGUCUCUGCUUUUUAAGAUGCUGUCUAGGUUUGUCAUUGUUUUUCUCCCAAGAAGCAGGUGUCUUUUAAUUUCGUGACUGCUCUCACCAUCUGCAGUGAAAGUAAAAUCUCUCACUGCCUCCAUUUCUUCCCCUUCUAUUUGCCAGGAGGUGAUGGGACCAGUGGCCAUGAUCUUAGUUUUUUGAUGUUGAGCUUCAAACCAUAUUUUGCGCUCUCCUCUUUCACCCUCAUUAAAAGGUUCUUUAAUUCCUCCUCACUUUCUGCCAUCAAGGUUGUGUCAUCUGCAUAUCUGAGGUUGUUGAUAUUUCUUCCAGCAAUCUUAAUUCUGGCUUGGGAUUCAUCCAGUUCAGCCUUUCGCAUGCUGAAUUCUGCAUAUAAGUUAAAUAAGCAGGGAGACAAUAUACAGCCUUGUCGUACUCCUUUCCCAAUUUUGAACCAAUCAGUUGUUCCAUAUCCAGUUCUAACUUCUCGUCCCACAUAGAGAUUUCUCAUGAGGCAGACGAGGUGAUCAGGCACUCUCAUUUCUUUAAGAACUUGCCAUAGUUUGCUGUGGUUGACACAGUCAAAUGCUUUUGUGCAGUCAAUGAAGCAGAAGUAGAUGUUUUUCUGGAACUCUCUAGCUUUCUCCAUAAUCCAGUGCAUGUUUGCAAUUUGGUCUCUGCUUCCUCUGCCCCUUCGAAAUCCAGCUUGCAUUUCUGGGAGUUCUCGGUCCACAUACUGCUUGAGCCUUCCUUGUAUAAUUUUAAGCAUAACCUUGCUAGCGUGUGAAAUGAGUGCAAUUGUGCGGUAGUUGGAGCAUUCUUUGGCACUGUGCUUCCUUGGGAUUGGGAUGUAGACUGAUCUUCUCCAAUCCUCUGGCCACUGCUGAGUUUUCCAAACUUGCUGGCAUAUUGAGUAUAGCUCCUUAACAGCAUCAUCUUUAGCCUUGUUAUUUGCAGUGCUUUCUAAGGCCCAUUUGACUUCACUCUCCAGGGUGUCUGGCUCAAGGUCAGCAACCACACUACCUGGGCUGUAUGAGAUCUCCGUAUCUUUCUGGUAUAAUUCCUCUUCUUGAUGUCUUCUGCUUAUGUUAGGUCCUUUCCACUUUUGUCCUUUAUUAUGGUAAUCUUUGUACGAAAUGUUCCUUUCAUAUCUCCAAUUUUCUUGAACAGAUCUCUGAUUUUUCCCAUUCUGUUGUUUUCCUCUAUUUCUUUGCAUUGUUCGUUUAAGAAGGCCCUCUUAUCUGUCCUUGCUAUUCUUUGGAAAUCUGCAUUCAAUUUCCUGUAUCUUUCACUAUCUCCCUCACAUUUUGCUUGCCUUCUAUCCCCUGCUAUUUGUAAGGCUUUAUUGGAUAGCUACUUUGCUUUCUUGCAUUUCCUUGGCUAGGUCUCGGCUAGAUUGCCUUUUUUGAGAUAUGUCAAUCAUAGAUGAAAUCAUGAAAUCAUACCAUUGAAGUCACCUCCAAGUAUUAUUUCACCUUUAGCAUGGAUUUUUAUUACACUAUUUGUAGAUUUGACAGGGGAAAAUAUUGGUUAAUGCACAUUGAAGAAUACAGUGGUACCUCGAGUUACAUACGCUUCAGGUUACAGACUCCGCUAGCCCAGAAAUAAUGCUUCAGGUUAAGAACUUUGCUUCAGGAUGAGAACAGAAAUCGUGCUCCGGUGGCAGCAGGAGGCCCCAUUAGCUAAAGUGGUGCUUCAGGUUAAGAACAGUUUCAGGUUAAGUACGGACCUCCGGAACGAAUUAAGUACUUAACCCGAGGUACCACUGUAUUUAUAUUAAAGCAGUUGUACAUUUAACGUUAUGUCCCUUUCUUCCUAUCAUUUUGCUCAGUUUAUUUAUUAAAAUAGUUAUAGUAUACUCAGCAUAAUUUGUUGUUUCAUGAGAUGGCAAAGCCCAUUCUUACUUGUGGGAUUUUGUAGAUGCCCAAUAUGCUUGCAAUGUGCAUGGAGAUGUCGGAUUCACCCCGUUCAUGAACAGCCAGUAAUGUUUUCUGCCUUCCACAGGUAUAGUUUGGAAUAUUGAUUUUCCCACCAGCAAGCAGAUCUGUCAGGGCAUCAGAAGUGGUUCUUCCAUCAAAAUAGGUCUCAUAGAUGCUGUAGCCCAGGGUGAUGUUGGGUAGGAGCCUGGGGUUAUGAUUGACAUCCUGCAAGGCCAGCAAGAAGCUAAGAAUUUGCCAUCCCCUCUUAUUCACAGAACUGCAAAAAGAAUUAUGUCACAUAGUGACAUUCAGUUCAUUGAAAUUGAAAGUAUAGCCUUCUCCUAUAGCCACUAAAUAUCUUAAGGCUUUCUAAAAUACUUCUGUAAUACUAAACUCUUAAAAAUACAUUUUGACCUGGCCAAUAUGGCCAGCUACCUCCCAGUCUCAAAUCUUCCAUUCUUGGGCAAGGUGAUUGAGCGGGUGGUUGCUGAACAACUCCAGUCAUGACUGGAGGAUGCAGACCAUUUUGAUCCCUUCCAAUCGGGAUUCAGGCCUCAUCAUGGGACGGAAACUGCCUUAGUUGCGCUGAUCGAUGAUCUCCAGUGGGCUAGGGACAAAGGUGAAAGCUGUUUUCUUGUUCUGCAGGAUCUCCCUGCAGCCUUUAAUACCACCGACCGUGACAUCCUUUGUGACUGUCUAGAGGGACUGGGAGCUGGGUGCACUGUCAUACAGUGGUUCCGCUCCUUCCUCCUGGGCCGUGUCCAGAAAGUGGUGUUGGGGGGGUGAGUGUUCAGACCCCUGGGCUCAAACUUGUGGGGUGCCUCAGGGUUCUGUCCUCUCCCCUAUGCUUUUUAACAUCUAUAUGAAGCCGCUGGGAUAAAUCACAGGGGGCUUGGGCUGGGUGUUCAUCAGUUUGCAGAUUAUACCCAGCUCUACCUCUCAUUUAAAUCAGAACCAGUGAAAGCGGUGCAUGUCCUCUGUGAGUGUCUGGAGGCAAUUGGAGGAUGGAUGAUGGCUAACAGAUUGAGGUUGAAAUAAAUAAAUAAAUAAAUAAAUAAAUAAAUAAAUAAAUAAAUAAAUUUUGUCCAGUUGCACCUUGGAGACCAACUAAGUUUGUUCUGGGUACAAGCUUUCGUGUGCAUGAACACAAAAGCUUACACCCAGAACAAACUUAGUUGGUCUCUAAGGUGCUACUGGACAAAAUUUAUUUAUUUUGACUGUGUCAGACCAACACGGCUACCUACCUGAAUGUAAAUUGAGGUUGGAUCCUGACAAGACAGAAGUACUGUUUUGGGGGGGGACAAGGGGAGGGCAGGUGUGGGGAGCUCUCUGGUCCUAAAUGGGGUAUCUGUGCCCCUGAAGGACCAGGUGCACCUCCUGGGAGUCAUUUUGGACUCACAGCUGUCCAUGGAGGCACAGGUCAAUUCUGUGUCCAGUGCAGCUGUCUACCAGCUCCCUCUGGUACGCAGGCUGAAACCCUACCUGCCCUCAGACUGCUUCACCAAAGUGGUGCAUGCUUUGAUUAUCUUCCACUUGGACUACUGCAAUGUGCUCUAUAUGGAGCUACCUUUGACGGUGGCUCAGAAACUGCAACUAAUCCAAAAAGUGACAAAAGAGGCUUCUCCAAUAUUGAUAGAUGGGAGUCAUUAAACCUUAUCCUUUGGGGAAGGGUGAACUCUCUCAAAACGAACAUUAUCCCAGAUUUAUUUAUAUUCUGAGAAGACUUCCAGUUUUUAUAUCCCGAUCAUAUUUCCAAAAGAUAAAGUUCCUGUUUAGGAAAUGUAUUUGGAGUUCAAAUGUACUGAGAAUAUCAUUGCAGAAAAUGCCAUCACAAAUUAAGGAAGGUGGCUUUGGAAUUCCAAAUCUGGAAUUAUACCAGCAUGCUUAUUUAUUGUCAAGUAUCAGACACUGGAGACCUACUGGGGGUCUUAAUCUCCCAAGCUGAGCAACUUUAGAGAAUACAUACAUACAGUAAAGCCUUUGGUUAGGUGGACAGUAUUAGGAUAAAUUUCCACAUGCUAAACUUACCAUGUGGGGAAAUCCUACUUUAUAUUUUAUCCUUUUAUAAAUAAAUUAUUCUUUUUUUUUUUUUUUAAUAAAAUCUCUCACACUCAGCGGCCUUGUGGAAGUCCGGCUCCACUUUGUCCACUGGUCAGUAGCUAAGGUCUUUUCCAGGCAUUGUACAUCUCACAAACAUUGCUUCUCAUAAAAGGGUUGGCAUGUUUGGAAUCACAGCAUGAGAAGAGCACCUGCCUAAGCAUAGUAGAGAGUUACAGUUUUCAGUUGCAUAGAUUGCUUUGUGCCUGGGGAAAAUAAUUGUGCAUUGAAAAUUGUUCUCCCCAUCUAUCAUUGUACCCAGCUAUAAAGGACAAGCCUGCCUUUCAACAUUCACUUUUCUGAGUGAGAGAACCAAUCUCCCGUUCAUCUCCAGGUGAGGGUAGUGGCUCACUCCUGGGGCACUAAUUCAUAAACUUCUAGAAAAAUUUAUUGGGUUGAGAGUGGGAGAACUCCAAAAUUUUCAUGCCAAAAAAUGCUCCAAGGUUCCAUGAGACACAAUGAGAGAAUGAAUUUCAUUUUGCUAACUACAGAAAACCUGCAACAGCCACACCCCAUAUACCUCCAUAAACCUCCAGGACACCAUAGACCUCCAGGAGAGACCCACCCUGGCUUCAGUCACUUUCAUCUCAGAGGGGCUGACCCACGUACAUCAAGAGAACUCGAGUGAAGCAGAAACACAUCAAUACAUUACUCACGUUUCAACAUAGUUCAAGGGGGUGCUGUAGAAGGUGAAGGGAAAACGAUCUCCAAUGAAUCUUGAAGAUACAAUUCCACUAAUGAGAUGGUUUCCUGGCCUGUAAAAAUUCACAGCAUAAUUGAUAUCCCUGAUCAGAUUCAGUGAGCAUUUUGCCUUCUGCUGCAUCUCGUAGGUUGCUAGAAGGAGCAACAAGAGCAGUGUUACCAUUCUGAAUCCACCUGAUACAUAUCCCUUCUGACUGUUCCUCUCAACUCCACAGCCAGCUAAUCAGAAGAAGCCUAAACUAUUGCAAAGACGUGUCCAGCUCCAGCUUCAGAGACAAAGAAGACAUGAUAUAACUGAGUGCUAGAGCACUUGUUUGCACCCAAAAGUGCCAGGUUCAACCUCAGCCAACUGUUCCAGGUAGGGCUGAGGAUAUCCUCUACUUGGAGAGCUGCCACCAGUCAGUAGAUAGUACUAAGCUAGAAGGCGGCUUCCUGUGUUCUGAUUAAGCUACACAAGGACUUAUCCCCUACACCUGAACUCUAUAUUGACUGCAAGGACUUGUUGUGGCACAAAAAAUAUUUCAUACAUCAAAUUUCUGAGGCACAGUGGAGUAAAUAACCUCCUGCUGCUCUUGAUUGUGAUGUUUGUGUCAUUGUUCCCAAAGGCAGCAUUCAAAGGGUGUGCAAGAGGGAUAAGAAUAGAUCACUGUGGUUCUGAUAAUUGUAAGGGGAAGAAAGGUCUCCUCUGGGAGCAGGUGCAGAGCAGGAGAAAAACAUGUUGACUCAAGAGACUGACAAGGUUCAAGGAGGGAGAAAGUUGAGUUUGGCUGAACGUGACUGACAUCAGAAGAGCCCUGAAACUGGAUCAGGCGAAGGGCCCAUAAAGUCCCGCAUCCUCUUCUCAAAAUGGACAACCAGUUGCCCCAAAGGAAGGGGUCAGUGCAGCAUCCCUUUCCCUACAUGGGAUUCCCAAAAACUAGCACUCACAGUCUUCCUGCCUGAAACAGUGGAGGGAGGCCAUAUUCAUAAGGGCUAGUAGCUGUUUAUGGCCUUAUCCACCUCCAUGAUGUGGCCUAAAUCUCUAUUUUUAUUUGAAACAAAAUUCAUUCACCACUUUCUUGUACAAAACCCCCCACAAGAAUAAUAAUAAGUUUAUUGGGAAAAGACAAGAUAAAAACAGAUGUAUUUGGAAAUCAAAAAAAUUAUUAAGUAAAAGGUUAAGCUAAAGAUAGAUUAAAGAACAUGUCAACUUCUGCACGUCUAAACAGACUUCCCUCAAUAUAAAUUGUUUUCCCAGGCACCAAAAAGAAUACAGAGAGUGUGUCAAAAGGCGGAAUGUGGCAAAGUGUAGGUGCUGCCACAGGAAGGGAUCAAUUUCCACCUGUCCAGAAUGAGCAUUGUGUGGCACCAGUAGUGCUUUUUUCUGGGGGUACUCAAGGGUGCAAAGUACUCCCCCCCCCCCAAAAAUGUUAAAGGCAUGGUAUGAAGUAACAACUUCAUGGUGAGUGCAAGCACAUUCUUUUCUUUUUUUAAAAAAAGCCCUGGGCACCAGCAAUUGUGCCAGUUUUUCAAACUAAAGCAGAUGAGUGAAUAUAUAGGGAAGAAGACAAUUCCUCCAGUCAACUCUUCCCAAGCUGUUAGGAGCUUCAGUGAAACCUUGAGCUUGGCUCAGUAACAAAGGAGCCACCACUGAAGAUCUCAGAGCAGAGUUGUAAUCGGCUGAUGAAGUCCCAAUCCAGCCCAAUGACCAUCUCUGCAUGGAUGUGGUCCUCCAACGCCAGGCCAGGGGCACCCCCCUCCCACUGCCGAGUGUUGGCCUAAAAGUGAUUUCAGUGGAUGGAGUGGAAGUGACUGUGUCUUGUGCCAAAGUGAAGCAUUGGGACAGGCACAAGGUGAGGUCGUGUCAGCCUGUUUCUCAUUUUUAACUAGGGCAGAGUUCUUCUUUUAAAUGCUCACUCUUAAACCAAGAUUUUUCAUUUCUCCAAGUGUUUUGAAUGUUUACCAUUCUAGAACAGGGGGCCCUAACAUGGUGUCAUCCAGAUUUUGUUUGAUUAUCACUCCCAGCAGCCAUCUGGAAACCUAUUGAAUCAACCAACUUCCAAAGACUGACCAUCCAAAAAGGUCUCCUGCCAAGUGUAAAAGGUGCCGUUACCCUCAAUCUCAACAGGAAGUGAUGUGAACUUGACAAGGGACUGAUGUCAAUGUCCUCACUUUUAGUCUCACCCUCUUCCUGCCCAUUUGAGGGAAAGGUCAGAAUAUGGCCUGAUCUGCAUGCAUUGGGAUAGUGACAUGUUGGGACAGCCGAACAUGGUCAUCAUGAAUAGCCAUGAAGUCCUGAGCCACUCAAGAACCAGUUGCCUAGUCAUGGAUGUACUGAAGUCCCCACAGGCCAGAUGAACUUCGAUCUUCAAGCUGUUUGCUACAUAAAAACAAUUAUCACUUCGUCCAUUUCACAAUAAAACCCCACAAAGCCACUCAUCUAUAAACAAAUUAUCUUCAGAACAGGCUCAAAUCCAGAUGUCAUUGUUUCACUUUGGUUUCACAGCAAAAAUUCUAUGAGAGGUUUCCGGUCUUUCAACAAAUGUUAACAAUGAGCUUUUCUCUUAUUGAAUGUGUCAAUUUCACCAUCUCAGCUAAACCUAUUAGCUUUAACAGCCAUUGUUGGGAAUGAUGUGUCCUUGCAUCUUUGUCCAUGUAAAGUCUUGCAGUCUGUGAUCAUACAUUGUAACAAAGAGGAACACAAAUUCUAGAUACCACCCAACUGGAUACAGAGAUGGGAUCUCUUAGACCCAGCAACUCCGUCUCCUGACCCUCAGGUCUGCCCUGAUGCUGCCCUGAAUACCAGGUGGGCACAGCUGGGUGAGGCCAACUCCAGUCCGCUCACUCAUCCACUCAGGUCUCUGUGAUAUAAAUACAAUCAGCCUCCUCAUCCACAAUCAAACCAUAAAAGCAACAACAAAACCCACACAAAUUAAAAUCAGUUAAUCCUUAAACAAGAUCCCAAUCCAAAAUUCUGUUUAGCAGCCUCAGUUUUUGUAGCUAGAGUCAGUCAGGACCUGCCCCUCCUCAGGCCAUGUGGAAGAAGGCCUGUAAGGCAGGGAGCAGGUCUUCUGGGACUCAAAGCUGUGAGAUAGUUGAGGAAAGAAGGGGCAGGACAAGAAAGGGCAUCAUUUUUGGUGACCAUAAGUCUGUAUAUAAUUUCUUAUUUAACGAAUUGAGUUUAUUUGGAUCCCAUCAGAUUUUGUUAUCCUCAUUGAUUAUUAAUUGUUGGACCAAAUUAUCAUAUUGGGUCUAUAAAAUAAAAUAAAAUCUAGCUGCUAAGGCCUGUAAGGCAGGGAGCAGGUCUUCCAGGACUCAGAGCCACGAGACAGUUGAGGAAUAGAAAGCGCAGAGUGACUAAAGUGAGAAGGCAGUGAUGCUGAAAGGUAAAAUAUCGACUGAGCAAAGUGAAUGAGGUGUCAUACUGAGAGGAAAAUGGCAGUUUUAAACAACUGAACUCCUGAACUCCCUAGAGAAACACAAAAAUUCAGCAUCACCUGUUGAAAAUGAUUAACAAUGCUUUUAAUACAGACCAAAGGAAAGAUGGAUAAUCUCUCUCACUCUCUCUGUUUAGUUUUUUGCCGUCAGGUACUCCUUCGUGUUCAGUUCGGGCUUCAGUAUAAUAAUGUAGAACUUGGGCAUGAAGAUGCAGCCCAGAAGCCCAGCACUGGAGGCCAAGAUAGAGAAGACCUGCACAGCUACCAUGUAUUUUCCCUUGGUGCUCAGGUAGGUGGGCACAAAGGACACCCAAACACUGCAGAAGACCAGCAUGCUGAAGGUGAUCAGCUUGGCCUCAUUGAAGGCCCCAGGCAGCUUCC
Podarcis lilfordi (Lilford's wall lizard) is the source of this 14556-nucleotide non-coding RNA. The record is from the annotation of a GenBank genome assembly. Lineage: Eukaryota; Metazoa; Chordata; Lepidosauria; Squamata; Lacertidae.